UACAGGGGGGGCAAGCGUUGUUCGGAAUUACUGGGCGUAAAGGGUUCGUAGGCGGUGCGGCAAGUUGGGAGUGAAAUCUCUGGGCUUAACCCAGAGGCUGCUUCCAAAACUGCUGUGCUUGAGUGUGGGAGAGGCGCGUGGAAUUGCAGGUGUAGCGGUGAAAUGCGUAGAUAUCUGCAGGAACACCCGUGGCGAAAGCGGCGCGCUGGACCACUACUGACGCUGAGGAACGAAAGCUAGGGGAGCAAACAGG
Molecule: ribosomal RNA, 253 nt
Filed under: uncultured bacterium
Lineage: Bacteria
Description: partial 16S ribosomal RNA
Rfam family: Bacterial small subunit ribosomal RNA
Source: RNAcentral